UUGUUCCCCGCUUGACUUAAGCAUAUCAAUAAGCGGAGGAAAAGAAACCAACAGGGAUUGCCUUAGUAACGGCGAGUGAAGCGGCAAUAGCUCAAAUUUGAAAUCUGGCGCUUGCGUCCGAGUUGUAAUUUGUAGAGGAUGAUUUUGGUUAGGUACCUUUCGAGUUCCUUGGAACAGGACGCCUUAGAGGGUGAGAGCCCCGUACGAUUGGAUGCCGAGCCUCUGUAAAUCUCCUUCGACGAGUCGAGUAGUUUGGGAAUGCUGCUCUAAAUGGGAGGUAAAUUUCUUCUAAAGCUAAAUACCGGCCAGAGACCGAUAGCGCACAAGUAGAGUGAUCGAAAGAUGAAAAGCACUUUGAAAAGAGGGUUAAAUAGCACGUGAAAUUGUUGAAAGGGAAGGAUUUAUGACCAGACUUUUUCUAGGAGAAUCAUCCGGUGUUCUCACCGGUGCACUUCUUUUAGUUUAGGCCAGCAUCGACUUUCGGCGGUGGAUAAAAGCUUUAGGAAUGUGGCUUCUCUCGGGAAGUGUUAUAGCCUAUUGUAUAAUACACUGCUGGGGGUCGAGGUACGCGCUUCUGCAAGGAUGCUGGCGUAAUGGUUAUCAAUCACCCGUCUUGAAACACGGACCAAGGAGUCGAACAUUUGUGCGAGUGUUUGGGUGUUAAACCCUCACGCGUAAUGAAAGUGAACGGAGGUGAGAGCCCUUACGGGUGCAUCAUCGACCGAUCCUGAUGUUUUCGGAUGGAUUUGAGUAAGAGCAUAAAUGUUCGGACCCGAAAGAUGGUGAACUAUGCGUGGAUAGGGUGAAGCCAGAGGAAACUCUGGUGGAGGCUCGCAGCGGUUCUGACGUGCAAAUCGAUCGUCAAAUCUGCGCAUGGGGGCGAAAGACUAAUCGAACCAUCUAGUAGCUGGUUACCGCCGAAGUUCCCCUCCAGGAUA
This 938-nucleotide ribosomal RNA is filed under the name Bartalinia kevinhydei. RNAcentral describes it as "Bartalinia sp. ST-2020a partial large subunit ribosomal RNA". It matches the Rfam family "Eukaryotic large subunit ribosomal RNA", at positions 24 to 980 of the family's 3401-position model. The record is from RNAcentral. Lineage: Eukaryota; Fungi; Ascomycota; Sordariomycetes; Amphisphaeriales; Sporocadaceae.